Molecule: ribosomal RNA, 291 nt
Filed under: uncultured eukaryote
Lineage: Eukaryota
Description: partial 18S ribosomal RNA
Rfam family: Eukaryotic small subunit ribosomal RNA
Source: RNAcentral
GGUUGAUCCUGCCAGUAGUCAUAUGCUUGUCUCAAAGAUUAAGCCAUGCAUGUCUAAGUAUAAAUUCUUGUACGAUGAAACUGCAGACGGCUCAUUACAACAGUGAUAAACUAAUAGACUUUCGGGUUUUUAACCUUUUGGAUAACCGCAGUAAAUCGGGGCUAAUACAUAGAAGCGAUGGGUGACUGGCAACGGAAGCUCAGCGAUUAUUAGCAUUACUACCAAUACCUUCGGGUCUUGUGGUGAAACCGAAUAAUAUUGCAGAUCGAGGAUUUAUCUUCGACAAGUCUA